Molecule: long non-coding RNA, 898 nt
Organism: Cervus elaphus (red deer)
Lineage: Eukaryota; Metazoa; Chordata; Mammalia; Artiodactyla; Cervidae
Exons: 3
Source: RefSeq, a predicted model, not a curated record
AUCGUGGGGACAAGUGGGUGUUUGGGAAGCAAACACGCCCUCUCUGGCAUCCGCGUACUCUCGCCCUCGCGUUGACCUCCCCGCCUCCGUGGCUAGCGCGCAGGCGCUGUACAUUUUUUUUUUUUUCUUUUUUUUCCUCCUCUGAAACUGUUUACCUGAAUCGAGCAAUGUUUAUAAAUCAGCUCGGUCACCAACCAGCGUCUAGCAGUAAAGUUGGUAAAAUUCCUGCUACUGAACGGAUGGAGAACUACAAGAUUAGCAACUUGAGGCCAGAGAAGAUAAGUGAUCCUCUCACCCAGGGACUGGAACCCAUGUCAUCCUGAAUCCAAGGGUUGUCUUCUGGGUGCUCCACAGAGCUCAGUUACGCUAGUCUAGAGUAUCCAGUGGCCCAAAAGAGAGAGUAAAGUGUCAGAAUCUUCACAACAGUCUACAGGAAGACGACACAACCUGGUCCCUGUUCCUUUCUGAUUUUACCUCCUGCCACUCUUCCCCUCUCUCACUCCACUCUACACAUAGAAGCUUCCUGGCUGUGCCUCUAACCUGCAGACCCAUUCCUGCCUAGGGGUCUUUGCAAAGGCUGUUUACUCUAGCUGGAAAGCUCUCUCUCUAUAUAUCCAUGUGACUCACUCCUUCUCUUCCUUCAGGUCUCAACUCCCAAUGUCACCUCAGCAAAACCUUCCCCAACCACACUAUUAAAACUGCAUCACACCCUGUUCUACACUCUCUAUCCCCCAUCCCUAAUUUAUUUUUCUCCUUGCCACAUAACAUACUGCAUCGUGGAUAAGAAUCCACCUGUCAAUACAGGGGCCAGAGGUUCAAUCCCUGGUCAAGGAAGAUUCCACAUGCUGUGAAGCAACUAAGCCCAUGCACCACAACUGCUGAGGCUGUGUGCUGCAAC